UUUGAUAGAGGUGCAGAGAACAUCAGUAAAAAUACUUAGUCUGGCAAACUGUGAGGUAUUUUGAAAGGGAACUUUGCCGAAAUGAAGGUAUCAAGCCCUGAUAUUUUUGUUGGCAGUAUGGAAAAUAUUUAUACUGUUGUCAUUGAUUUUUAUCAAUGGAGUGCUGUCUGG
This 171-nucleotide non-coding RNA is filed under the name Fusobacterium ulcerans. Its description in RNAcentral is "Lysine riboswitch". It matches the Rfam family "Lysine riboswitch aptamer". Rfam says of the family: Riboswitches are metabolite binding domains within certain messenger RNAs that serve as precision sensors for their corresponding targets. Allosteric rearrangement of mRNA structure is mediated by ligand binding, and this results in modulation of gene expression. This family includes riboswitches that sense lysine in a number of genes involved in lysine metabolism, including lysC. Lineage: Bacteria; Fusobacteriati; Fusobacteriota; Fusobacteriia; Fusobacteriales; Fusobacteriaceae. The record is from RNAcentral.